AUCGCUUCUCGGCCUUUUGACUAAGAUCAAGUGCACUAUCUGUUUUUAUCAGUUCAAUAUCUGAGACACCCUCUUUCCAAGGACAAACAUGAAACGGAUUUUUUUUCAGAUGUAAAUAUACAAUUUUCAUAUGCAUCAGUCAAA
This 144-nucleotide small nuclear RNA is filed under the name Carlito syrichta (Philippine tarsier). RNAcentral describes it as "U2 spliceosomal RNA (ENSTSYG00000024613.2)". The stretch from base 1 to 126 matches the Rfam family "U2 spliceosomal RNA". Rfam says of the family: U2 is a small nuclear RNA (snRNA) component of the spliceosome (involved in pre-mRNA splicing). Complementary binding between U2 snRNA (in an area lying towards the 5' end but 3' to hairpin I) and the branchpoint sequence (BPS) of the intron results the bulging out of an unpaired adenosine, on the BPS, which initiates a nucleophilic attack at the intronic 5' splice site, thus starting the first of two transesterification reactions that mediate splicing. The record is from RNAcentral. Lineage: Eukaryota; Metazoa; Chordata; Mammalia; Primates; Tarsiidae.